RNAcentral lists this long non-coding RNA (277 nucleotides) under Helianthus annuus (common sunflower). RNAcentral describes it as "hypothetical non coding rna". Lineage: Eukaryota; Viridiplantae; Streptophyta; Magnoliopsida; Asterales; Asteraceae. The record is from RNAcentral.
CCCAACACCAUAAAACUACUCUCUCCUCUCCCUCAAAACUUUCGGCCAAACACCCCUUGAUCAUCCAUCAUAUUUUUUGAUUUUGUUCUUCACAUUCCAACAUCAUACAAGUGUCAAGUGUCACGCAUAAGAAGGCUUGGUACACUCGGAGAUCGAAGGACCUCAUCCUCUAGCUUUUAUCCACUUCAUUUGCGCUUAGAUUCCUCCCUAGCCUCGAGCUAGUGGUAACUAAAGGUGGAUGUGCGCGUGGUCCUACGCAUGCUCGUUACGACGUUAA